GGGACAACAGUUCGAAAGGACUGCUAAUACCGAAUGUUGUAGAGUUUCCGCAUGGGAAUCCUACUAAAGGUGGCCUCUACUUGUAAGCUAUCGCUUUACGAUGGGUCUGCGUCUGAUUAGCUAGUUGGUGGGGUAACGGCUUACCAAGGCGACGAUCAGUAGCCGGUCUGAGAGGAUGAACGGCCACAUUGGAACUGAGACACGGUCCAGACUCCUACGGGAGGCAGCAGUGGGGAAUCUUCCGCAAUGGGCGCAAGCCUGACGGAGCAACGCCGCGUGAGUGAAGAAGGGUUUCGACUCGUAAAGCUCUGUUGUCGGGGACGAAUGUGGAGAUGGUGAAUAACCAUUUUCAAUGACGGUACCUGACGAGGAAGCCACGGCUAACUACGUGCCAGCAGCCGCGGUAAUACGUAGGUGGCGAGCGUUGUCCGGAAUUAUUGGGCGUAAAGGGAGCGCAGGCGGGAAGGUAAGUCUAUCUUAAAAGUGCGGGGCUCAACCCCGUGAGGGGAUGGAAACUAUCUUUCUUGAGUGCAGGAGAGGAAAGCGGAAUUCCUAGUGUAGCGGUGAAAUGCGUAGAUAUUAGGAGGAACACCAGUGGCGAAGGCGGCUUUCUGGACUGUAACUGACGCUGAGGCUCGAAAGCGUGGGGAGCGAACAGGAUUAGAUACCCUGGUAGUCCACGCCGUAA
Molecule: ribosomal RNA, 688 nt
Filed under: uncultured bacterium
Lineage: Bacteria
Description: bacterial SSU rRNA
Rfam family: Bacterial small subunit ribosomal RNA
Source: RNAcentral